RNAcentral lists this long non-coding RNA (1027 nucleotides) under Calidris pygmaea (Spoon-billed sandpiper). RNAcentral describes it as "lncRNA (ENSCPGG00000015593.1)". Lineage: Eukaryota; Metazoa; Chordata; Aves; Charadriiformes; Scolopacidae. The record is from RNAcentral.
GUGUCACCCAAGGUGAUCGCCCUUGCGCUGGUGCACACCCCAUGGUGCCACCCCGCAGCGUCACCCAACCAUGUCACACCAUGACAUCCACCCCGUGGCAUGUCCUACCAUGCUGUCCACCCUACAAUGCCACCCAACGUCAUCUCCCACCCAAUGUCACACCACAUUGCACCCAACAAUGCCACCCAAUGGCAUCUCCCACCCAACAUCACACCAUGCUGUCCACCCAACGUCAUCUCCCACCCAAUGUCACACCACAUUGCUCCCAACAAUGCCACCCAAUGGCAUCUCCCACCCAACAUCACACCAUGUUGUCCACCCAACAAUGCCACCCAACGUCAUCUCCCACCCAACGUCACACCAUGCUGUCCACCCUACAAUGCCACCCAAUGGCAUCUCCCACCCAACAUCACACCAUGCUGUUCACCCAACAAUGCCACCCAACAACAUCUCCCACCCAACGUCACACCACAUUGCUCCCAACAAUGCCACCCAAUGGUAUCUCCCACCCAAUGUCACACCAUGCUGUCCACCCAACAAUGCCACCCAAUGGCAUCUCCCACCCAAUGUCACACCACGUUGCCCCCAUCUAUGUCAAGCCAAUGACACCCACCCCCAAUCCCCAUCCCCUGGUGUCCCCUCCAAUGUCACAUCGCACUGCCCACCCUUCAACACCACCCAGUGACACCCACCCCGUGAUGCCACCCCACAGUAUCACCCCCCCAGCUGUCACACCACGCUGCCCACCCUACAGUGGCACCACCCCAUGAUGCCACCCCAAGGAAAACACCCCCUCCCAAUGUCCCACCACACUGCCCACCCUAAAAUGCCACCCAAAGACACUGACCCUGAGGUCACACGAUGUUACCCCCCCCUCCCCAGCAAAGACACCCAGUGGCACCCACCCCCAAUGCCAUCCGCUGGUGUCCCCUCCAAUGACACACCCUGUUGCUCCCCCUACAAUGCCACCCACCCCAUGGCAUCCCCCUCCAAAGUCACACCACAGUGUCCCCCCUACUACACCACC